This is a long non-coding RNA of Eriocheir sinensis (Chinese mitten crab), 979 nucleotides long. RefSeq lists it as uncharacterized. The transcript has 2 exons. The record is from RefSeq and is a predicted model, not a curated record. Lineage: Eukaryota; Metazoa; Arthropoda; Malacostraca; Decapoda; Varunidae.
CAGCAUAAUAAUAAACGGUAUCAGUGAGGUGUGGAAAAAGAUAAUAAACAAACGGCUUAUUGAAAUCUUUGAACUGGGAAAUUAUUACACUCGAGAAGCUAAAAAAAAGACAUGAAUAGAUUAAAAAGAAGGGAAGGAAAUUAUACAAGGUAGUUUUUCUUCCAUAACAAACAGCUUCUUUUAAAACAUGUGAACUGGGAAAUGAUUACACUCGAGAAGCUCAAAAAAAGACAUGAAUAGAUUAAAAAGAAAGGAAGGAAAUUAUACAAGGCAGUUUUUCUUCCAUAACAAACAGCUUCUUUUAAAACAUGUGAACUGGGAAAUUAUUACAUUCGAGAAGCUCAAAAAUAAACAUGAACAGAUUAAAAAGAAAGGAAGGAAAUUAUAGUAUGGAGCUUUUCUUUUCCAUAACAAACCGCUUUUUUUUAAAAGGCGUCAGUGAGGUGUGGAAAAAGAAAAUAACGAACAACUUCUUUUAAACAUCUGAACUGGAAAAUUAUUAAACCCGAGAAGCUAAAAAACAUGAAUAGAUUAAAAAGAGAAGGAAAAUAAAGUAGGUAGCUUUUUUCCAUAACAGCUUCUUUUAAAAUGUGAACUGGGAAAUUAUUUAACUCGACAAGCUGUAAAAAUAUGAAUAAAUAAAAAAGUACCGAAGGAAAUUAUAGUGGGUAGCUUUUCUUCCAUAACAUACAGCUUCUUUAAAAUAUGUGAACCGGGAAAUUAUUUAAACCCGACAAGGCGAAAUAAUAUGAAAUAAAAAUACAUAAGGAGGGACAUCAUAGUAACUCCGAGCGCACAUUUGUCUCGAAAAAUGAAACUUGAGGUAAGAAGCAAAAAGGCACGAAAAAAAAUAAGUGGAAAAAGAAAAUAAUAACAAAUGGCUUCUUUUAAUGUUUGGACUGGGAAAUUAUUAAACUGGACACGCUGAAAAGUAAGAAAAAAAAAAAAAUACAAGACAUAAGGAAGGACAUUAUUAUAG